CCUUACGGGUAGAUCUCCCACCCUUGAAACUAUACCUUUGUUGCUUUGGCGGGCCGCCUCGGCUACCGGCUUCGGCUGGUAAGUGCCCGCCAGAGGACCCCUAAACUCUGAAUGUUAAUGUCGUCUGAGUACUAUAUAAUAGUUAAAACUUUCAACAACGGAUCUCUUGGUUCUGGCAUCGAUGAAGAACGCAGCGAAAUGCGAUAAGUAAUGUGAAUUGCAGAAUUCAGUGAAUCAUCGAAUCUUUGAACGCACAUUGCGCCCCUUGGUAUUCCGAGGGGCAUGCCUGUUCGAGCGUCAUUAUAACCCUCAAGCCUAGCUUGGUGUUGGGGCUUGCUGUUACCGGCAGCCCUUAAAACUAGUGGCGGAGCCACCUGGCUCUAAGCGUAGUAAUACUUCUCGCUAUAGAGUCCCGGUGGAUGCUUGCCAUCAACCCCUAAUUUUCUAUGGUUGACCUCGGAUCAGGUAGGGAUACCCGCUGAACUUAAGCAUAUCAAUAAGCGGAGGAAAAGAAACCAACAGGGAUUGCCUCAGUAACGGCGAGUGAAGCGGCAACAGCUCAAAUUUGAAAUCUGGCUCUUUCAGGGUCCGAGUUGUAAUUUGUAGAAGAUGCUUCGGGUGUAGCUCCGGUCUAAGUUCCUUGGAACAGGACGUCAUAGAGGGUGAGAAUCCCGUAUGUGACUGGGUGCUUUCGCUCAUGUGAAGCUCUUUCGACGAGUCGAGUUGUUUGGGAAUGCAGCUCAAAAUGGGUGGUAAAUUUCAUCUAAAGCUAAAUAUUGGCCAGAGACCGAUAGCGCACAAGUAGAGUGAUCGAAAGAUGAAAAGCACUUUGGAAAGAGAGUU
RNAcentral lists this ribosomal RNA (843 nucleotides) under uncultured fungus. RNAcentral's name for it is "eukaryotic LSU rRNA". The stretch from base 452 to 843 matches the Rfam family "Eukaryotic large subunit ribosomal RNA", at positions 1 to 389 of the family's 3401-position model. The record is from RNAcentral. Lineage: Eukaryota; Fungi.